UACGUAGGGGGCAAGCGUUGUCCGGAUUUAUUGGGCGUAAAGAGCGUGUAGGCGGCCUGAAAGGUCAGCUGUGAAAACUCGAGGCUCAACCUCGAGACGUCGGUUGAAACCAUCUGGCUAGAGUCCGGAAGAGGAGUGUGGGAAUUCCCGGUGUAGCGGUGAAAUGCGCAGAUAUCGGGAAGAACACCCGUGGCGAAGGCGGCACUCUGGGACGGUACUGACGCUGAGACGCGAAAGCGUGGGGAGCGAACAGG
This 254-nucleotide ribosomal RNA is filed under the name uncultured bacterium. Its description in RNAcentral is "partial 16S ribosomal RNA". It matches the Rfam family "Bacterial small subunit ribosomal RNA", at positions 524 to 776 of the family's 1533-position model. The record is from RNAcentral.